Molecule: long non-coding RNA, 1134 nt
Filed under: Manihot esculenta (cassava)
Lineage: Eukaryota; Viridiplantae; Streptophyta; Magnoliopsida; Malpighiales; Euphorbiaceae
Description: long non-coding RNA (MESC_LNC005034)
Source: RNAcentral
UGUAAGCUCUGCUCACUCUUUGUUAUUUUUUAUUUUAAUUUUUUUUAAAGGAGAAAAAGCAUCAUUAACGUUACAUUAAAUAGGGAUGAACAUUUAAUUAAUUCAAUUUAAAAUUUUAAUGAUAGACAAUAAAAAAAAAAACCGAGUAAAUAAAUUGACCUAACAAAUUAUAUUAACUGAAUUAACUAUAUAAAUAAAUCCAUUUAAAAAUAUAUGAAAAUUCCAAGCUUUGAUAUUCUCCCUGCCUUGUAUUGUUUUUCUCUUUGUAUCUUAGAAUAGUAUGUUUUAAAUUACAGAGGGUAUACGAGCUGGGCGCACGUAGAGUUUUGGUGACCGGCACCGGACCUUUAGGCUGUGUUCCGGCGGAAAUAGCAAUGAGGGGAAGAAACGGAGAAUGCUCCGAGGAAUUGCAGAGAGCAGCUGGCUUGUUUAACCCACAGCUUGUGCAAUUGAUAAAUGAACUGAAUGCUGAAAUUGGAUCCGACAUUUUUGUAGCUGCAAAUGCAUAUGAAAUGAACAUGGAUUUUGUUAACAACCCUCAAACCUAUGGUAAGUUAAUUAUCUCAAUUUCUUUUUUUAUUUUUGAAAAAGAGGCAUGAUUUAUUUGCAUAUGAUCAUGAGAUAAAUUUACCUUUACUAUUAGAACAUGCAUGGCCUGUGGAAAUUAUCAAAUAUAAUGAACAGUAGAUGCAGAUGACCAGUGGGCAAAAGGACUUAUUCACUGGAGAGAAAUCUAUGGGACCAUUGAAAAAUAAAUGCAUUAUGUUGUGAUAGGUCUCUCAGCUUUUUAUUAAAUGCUGAAAUUAAUAUGGAAAAAAUUAAAUUAAUUUAAUUUAAUUAGUUUUUCGAUUUGAUACCCUAAUUAUAUAUUAAUUAAAAAGUGCAUAAUUGUGAUUAUUUUUGGCAGGAUUUGUAACAUCCAAGGUUGCAUGCUGUGGGCAAGGACCUUAUAAUGGGAUUGGAUUAUGCACAGUAGUAUCAAACCUGUGCCCUAAUAGAGACAUCUAUGCAUUUUGGGAUCCAUUUCAUCCAUCUGAAAGGGCUAAUAGAAUCAUUGUUCAACAAAUUGUGACUGGCUCCACCAAGUAUAUGCACCCAAUGAAUCUCAGCACCAUCAUGCUUUUGGAUUCUAGG